Molecule: long non-coding RNA, 864 nt
Filed under: Apteryx owenii (little spotted kiwi)
Lineage: Eukaryota; Metazoa; Chordata; Aves; Apterygiformes; Apterygidae
Description: lncRNA (ENSAOWG00000017155.1)
Source: RNAcentral
AUUCCUACGGACUUCCUGGACUGCCUUCCCUGGCCUGUGGAAGGGUAACCCUCCCCAAAAAACCUGUUGUCCUCCUUUUGUGAGUGGAUAACCCUUCCUCACUACCCACCCACUUUUAAUUGGAUAUGGUUAGGCAGAGGGAGGAAUAACUAAAUACCUACGGGAGAAAAGAUGAGAAAGAAGAAAGAACUAAAUGCUGCAUUAGGAGGGGGAAUCAAAGAUAUCUGAGAUGUUGACAAGUAUGCCUGAGUCUGAGAUAGUGAAAGUGCAAGUCAUCGAACAAAAAGCUGUGUGGAAAGCAGCAGAGAAAAUGCAUUUGAAGAAAAGGGAAACUACUUAAAGCAUGUCUUUUCAAGAGACUAAAUUCCCUGGUCAAAACUGCAAUAAGCAAGACAAAACACAACAUUCCUCACUGGGGAAGAAGUGCAGGAAAUAUAAGAAUAGAAGACAGCAGGCGAGUAUCUGUUCAAGAGACAGCAUAUGUAAAGAUCUCUUCACAAGUGUUCCAGAAAUAUUCCACAGGAAAAUGACUGAAAUUCUUUAAACCCUGGAGUAAAUGGAAGGCACUAGAACUGAACAGAAAUCAAAAGAAUAUCCCACUGUUAAAUCAAUGUCUAAGAUAACAGAAGUUUCUGGAUAAAACUUAUACAGAGAAAAAUGUACAUUAUGACAAACCUCAACAUACCUCUUAGGCCAUGAAAAGGGUUAUAACAGAUCUAUAAAUGCUACAGGUAAAAUGGCACCAUAGAAAAUGUAACUGUUCUUUGUAUGAUACAAUUUUAGAGUAAAUUUUUAAAGUCCUAUUCUUACAAAGCCAACCUUGUCACAAGGAACUUAAAAUAAAGCCUUUCUGAUGUUUAGUCA